UGCCGGUCCCCUCGCGACGAUAGACCGCGAACCUGGUCAGACCCGGAAGGGAGCAGCCACAGCGGAGGACUCGGGCGCCGGGGUGUGGCUGGUAGGG
Molecule: signal recognition particle RNA, 97 nt
Filed under: Hahella sp. CCB-MM4
Lineage: Bacteria; Pseudomonadati; Pseudomonadota; Gammaproteobacteria; Oceanospirillales; Hahellaceae
Description: Bacterial small signal recognition particle RNA
Rfam family: Bacterial small signal recognition particle RNA
About the family: The signal recognition particle (SRP) is a universally conserved ribonucleoprotein involved in the co-translational targeting of proteins to membranes. Archaeal SRP consists of a 7S RNA and homologues of the eukaryotic SRP19 and SRP54 proteins.
Source: Rfam by way of RNAcentral